RNAcentral lists this transfer RNA (71 nucleotides) under Chelydra serpentina (North American snapping turtle). RNAcentral's name for it is "tRNA-Ser". It matches the Rfam family "tRNA". Rfam says of the family: Transfer RNA (tRNA) molecules are approximately 80 nucleotides in length. Their secondary structure includes four short double-helical elements and three loops (D, anti-codon, and T loops). Lineage: Eukaryota; Metazoa; Chordata; Testudines; Chelydridae. The record is from RNAcentral.
AAGAAGGAAGCAUAAGGGUUAUGUGAUUGGCUUGAAACUAAUUGAAGGGGGUUCGACUCCCUCCUUUCUUG